AAGGAAUAUUGGACAAUGGAGGCAACUCUGAUCCAGCCAUGCCGCGUGAAGGAAUAAGGCCCUAUGGGUUGUAAACUUCUUUUAGACGGGACAAAACCCCUUUACGUGUAAAGGGUUGAUGGUACUGUCAGAAUAAGCAUCGGCUAACUUCGUGCCAGCAGCCGCGGUAAUACGAAGGAUGCAAGCGUUAUCCGGAAUUAUUGGGUUUAAAGGGUGCGUAGGCGGACUAAUAAGUCAGUGGUGAAAGCCUGCAGCUUAACUGCAGAAUUGCCAUUGAUACUGUUAGGCUUGAGUACAGUUGAGGUAGGCGGAAUGUGUCAUGUAGCGGUGAAAUGCUUAGAUAUGACACAGAACACCGAUUGCGAAGGCAGCUUGCUAAGCUGUAACUGACGCUGAGGCACGAAAGCGUGGGGAGCAAACA
This 421-nucleotide ribosomal RNA is filed under the name uncultured bacterium. RNAcentral's name for it is "bacterial SSU rRNA". It matches the Rfam family "Bacterial small subunit ribosomal RNA", at positions 356 to 774 of the family's 1533-position model. The record is from RNAcentral.